Long non-coding RNA from Ruditapes philippinarum (Manila clam), 4793 nucleotides. RefSeq lists it as uncharacterized. The transcript has 3 exons. The record is from RefSeq and is a predicted model, not a curated record. Lineage: Eukaryota; Metazoa; Mollusca; Bivalvia; Venerida; Veneridae.
GACUUUAGGCAAUAUUUUUUAAGAGCUGAAAAUGCCAUUUUAACAAUUACUUUUUUUGUACGACGCUAUGAUCAUGAUGACAUAAGCUAGAUUUAAGGAUAACGAAACGUGAUGCAUUAGUACACAAAACUGAUGAUGUGUUAAUUGAAUAUACUAGACGCAUUUAGAAUACUGCGUGUGCCAUUACUAGCUUUAUAAAGCCACUAACUUGGAUUAUGUUUGCAUUUAUCUAAAUGCGUCGUCUUUAAAUGAUUUACGAAACAAUUUAAAUAAUGUUAAUUAACUAUUGAUACUUACUUGAAAUUUUGCUAUUUUACCGUUUUACGCGUUUUAAAGUACAUCAAAUAUUUUGUAAUAUAUAACCCGUUCGUAAUAUUUAAAUCGCAUGGGUCACACUAUUUUAUGGAUAUGUAUAUUCUGUGGAUGAUUAAAUGAUACAGUACAUAUAAAAUAUACUGAAUUAUUUGCUGCGAGUAAGAUGGAAUAUUAGCUCUUAGAAUAAGUGCAAGACGUUAUAUUAGUGAUUUCUUUUUAAUCUUUUUAGUACGAAUUAAACACUUUAAAGUGGUUACCUACCAUACAUGUAUAUGGUGUUUGAUGUACGAGCCAACACAGAUUAUUUGGUAACACUUUGCCGACAAGAUGUUGUGUUCAAAGAUAAUUGCACAUCUCUAUUUGACACUAAUGGUGAUAUUACUGAUUUUCAUCAUUUAUUCCGAAGCUGCUUCAAGAGGGGUUUGUAAAAGGCCAACGCCCACUACAACAACACCAGCUCCUGAUUUAACAACAGAAGCAACACCUUAGGUAGAGGAUCAGUACCUUAGAGCCCCGAAUAACAAUAAUAUUCUAGUGUACAAAUUUUACAUCGUAGAUGUAUCAAUAUCUUCUGAGAUGUUUUACAUAGAUAUUUUCAUUUACAUGAUAUUGACAAUGAUACGAUGCAACCUUCAUUCAUUAUCUUACUUUGAUGAAGAAAACAUUUUAAGGGCGCUUAUAAAUUAUCUAUCAUAAAAAUGCAUUUUAUCAGAAGACAUACUACAACAAUAAUCCAUCGCUUAUCGAACUCUGUCAUUCUGGUCUUUCUGCCUAUGUUCCUGGACAUUGCGGAGACAUUGCUGAUCCUUAAAUAUGUAUACACCAGGAAAUAAGCUCAGCACACAUGGCUUUUUGCCUCAAUUUUGACAUGACCAUACCUGAAAUUGUAAAUUUUAUUUGGGCAAUGGUACGAACCACCUGUAGUCAACCUGCAACAACUGAAACAAGCUCUGCACAAGAAUGGCAAAAUUUACCUUGAAAUCGCAUAAGACGCCUUGCUGGUAGUAUAAAAAAUGUUGAGGCUAUCAUUCGGGCACUUGGCGGUUACACACGUUAAUAAAAAUUUGGCUACAUAAUGUGAUUUUAGGUGACGUAAUCGUCAACCAAAAAUAUCGACCAGUAAAUGUUUUGUAAAUGCUCCAACACAUACUUAUAAACACUUACAUUUUCUGGUAAAAGAAACAACACAUUUGCUUAUGCUUCAACAAUUUGGUUAAGAAGAAACUAUACUCAUAUAUUUACUGGUUUGUAAUGACUAAAUUGAUAUCGCUGCUCAUCAAAUUAUUAUUUCUUAGGUCAAUGAAGUCUCAUGACAGUGACUUCAAUCACAACAAAUUUUAAAUUAACGGGUGUGCUUUACUUAUUUCCAAGUGUAUAUUUGAAUACUCGUAAAAAUUUCUAAAGACUAAGAUUUUUUAACUUUCAUAAUUUCUAAAUACAUUUCACUGAGAACAUAUUUAACAGUCUCUCACAUAUGUUAUCAUAAUGUUGCUCAGAAUUUAAAAUUAUUUCGGAACAUGCAAAUAUGUUUGAAUGAAUAACAAGAACUCUUAAAACGGAAAACCUCAUAAAAAGUAUAGCGAUAGCAAAUGUCAAUAUCUUUGACGACUCUUUGCAUGGAAUUUGGAUUUUAAACUAUGUAUCAUAAUUUAAUAAAUGUAGAAAUUAUCGGUUGAAAUUUGUGGGGCAUGAUAUAAACAUAGGGAUUAUUUUUCUUUUUUAGCUAUAAACGCCCACAGAUGAAAUAUCUACUCCAAUCAUAUCAUGAUUUAAACCUUAUGUAAAUCAUAUCUCCGAGUCUAUUCAUUCUGUUUAUAAACCGUCUAUGGUUAUUAUGAAAACGUUUUAAGAUUUAAUUGUAGAUAAGUUUGAUAUUUAAUAUUGCAUUAAAUAACUAGCCCGCCUUCUGAUAAUUUUUUAUCCAUGAUUUUAAUAUUUCAAACUAAAUAUUACUUUAUUUGUGAAGUUACACUGCAUUGAACAUCUUUAUCUGAAAAAUAUCAAUACAGAAAUAACGGCCUGUUUUCGGUUUUUCUUUUAAUUGUAUUGCUUUUAUAUUACUAAAGCAAAAUUGAACUGUAAGUGCAAGUAUAUUUCAGAGCUUACACAGAUGUCACUAAAUUAUCGAGAAUUGUUUAUAUAUCAACGAAAAGUCCGUUGGACAUUCACCCAAUUAUAUAUAUACGUACAUGUUUAAAUCAAUUUGAAAACAUAAAAUCUAAUUAACAUAUAAUUUAUUUUGCUUGAUAGUUAUCAACAUUGAUAAAAUAAAAAUCGUUGAACUUGUCAUUUGAGGCAAGAUACGUUGCAUAAGUGUCGGGUUAAAAAUGGCUUUUUAGUAGUUCCUCAAAAUUGUAAUAUUAUAUUUGACAAUUACAUUGUAUAAUACUUGAAACAGUCCGUGUGGUAACAAACAAACAAACAAACAAACAAACAAACAAACAAACAAAACAAUAAACACACAAAUAAUGGAUAAGUCUUUUAAUAUUAGUUAAUAAGUACAGAGGGUUCUCUACCCAGGGCUGCACGUUUGAUUUUUAUAUGUGAAACGUGUUCAGAAACAACUUUCAUUAACGUAAUUGCUACAUGUAUACUUCCCUUUAGAUAACCCUAAACAAGGAUACAACUGCAUUAUUUUACUAACAAUUUGUAACUUUAUUUUCAUUUGGUACGUAACCUCAUAAAUUAAUUGUACAAUAAUUGUACCAUUAUUUGUUAUAAAAUAUAAAAUGGAAAUAGAAAAAAUUGAGAUAUCCCCCUUAUCAUGAACAUCUUUAAUGUCAGGGCUUAUUAUAAGUGACGUAAGCUGCAAAUUAACUUUUCAUGAGACUUACAUUCAAUCAUUCAAUUUUAAACCGACAUGAAAUAACUAUUUAUAUUUAUGCCUUUCUUAGAUUGUAAAAUAAAAUAAAGCAAUAAAAUAAUUCUUUGUGCCGAACUAUCAAAGUAGUCUUAAAACCAAUAUCAGUAACAGUUGUGCAUUGUACAAUGAAACUAAAUUUAAGAUUUUAUUAUUUGCCUACUUUCGGCAACAUCAUUCCUGUUAUAUUCACCAUGAUUAUACAAAAAGAAUAUUGUAAAGUGUUAUUUCAAAAUUUUAUUUCCAUAUGCGUGCAGGUAGAUAUUAUGUGAUAUGAGGUGAUACGUUUUAUAAUGUUGAUAACGAUCUUCAUUUGGGCUUUUUCUCUUAAAGCGAUAUUUGUACAAAAUAUAUGUGAAAUGUUGAAGCAUUAAAUCUUGAUAGGAUUGUAGUGUCAGGUGUAUAAAAUUUGAUUUAUAAUUGAGUGUUUCAAUUAAAAAAAAAAUGUAAUAUAUACGUCGUGUGUGAUCAAAAUUUAUACAAUCGCCAUAUCUGUUAGAUUGUUAUUUAAUAUUGAAAUUCAAUAAUAAGUCGUUUUAUUAAUUACAUGGAAUAAAAUCAACUGAAAGAAAUAUAACCAAGCAAAAUCAUUCAUUGUAAACUGUAUAACGCCUUUAUUAUUAGCUUAUGAAAACAAAUUGGAUGUUAUUUUGCUUUUUUACAUUUUAUUUUCAAAAUUCUUAUCUGAUAUAGCUAAACACCCUUUAAUUUGGUUAUAAAAUUAAAAAAAAAAACAUUUUGGUGGUAAUAAAUAUUCUUUCUUUCUUUAUUAAUAUUAUUUUAGGAACAAUCUUGUUUAAUUGUUUAUUCUUCAUAUAACACACAAUCCCGAGCAAUUGUGUAUACUAUUAUGUAAAGGUCUCGGCAUGAGUUCUUAUUAAGUUAUUUAUCAAUUUUCCCGAAUUCCACGAAGUCCCUUUUAAAGAUGGAACAAUGCAUUCAGGAUGAUUAUCGUUGAAUAUUAUGUACUGAUUAAACAAUUAAACAUCUAUAGGUUUUCAUUUAUAGAAAUAACUGAAUUUGAAAUGUAAAAUAAAGUAUUGUAGCAAUGUACAUGUACUUAUACAAAUGCUUGGUCAGAGAAGUUUUCUGACGAAAUUAAUAUUUAAAUCGAAUUAUCAAUAAAUCAUGUGUUUUUAUAUUAAUUGACAAGUAUUUCGGAAUAAAUACGUAUUCUCGCCGCGCAUUAUAAGUAACAGUUACUAAAAUAACUCAAGCGGUAUAACUAACUUCAUUGAUAUUUGAAACUUUUGUUUUGAUUCUUCAAAUCCCUUCACUUCUUGAAAUCAUUGUACAAGCGUGAAACAUGACGCAUUCAAUAGUUUUUGUCAUAUUUAUUGAGUCAAAUAUAAUUUUAGUGUCGUGUUAAUUCUAUUCAUAUAUUUACGUAAUGGUAAAUAAUACAUCGUAAAUACAUACACAUAACAUGAUCAGUGUUAUGCAAAUAAAAUUAAGAUGUUUUCAUUGAAAAUAUUAUUUAUUCAUAGUGUUGAAUGUAAACUCUUCAACGAACAAACAAAUGAGACGAAAUAUCCAUCUUACUGUCGCUUUUGUUAACUGUAUGUAAGUUUGAUGUAUUCCUAGGAAUUUGCAUUGUUGUAAUAAAUAUAUUACUGUU